This 821-nucleotide long non-coding RNA is filed under the name Homo sapiens (human). RNAcentral describes it as "HSALNT0087706". The record is from RNAcentral. Lineage: Eukaryota; Metazoa; Chordata; Mammalia; Primates; Hominidae.
CCAAGUCAAUGUUUCGCUUAUCUUGUGGAAACCAACUUUUAUAAAAUCAUAUUUUUCCAGCUUAAAUCUUACUAUAAGGGGAGAACUUCGGAGUGAAAAUGCAUCUCUGGUUUUAAGUAGCAGCAAUCAAAAAAGAGAGCUUGCUAUUCAAAUAUCCAAAGAUGGGCUACCGGGCAGAGUGCCAUUAUGGGUCAUCCUGCUGAGUGCUUUUGCCGGAUUGUUGCUGUUAAUGCUGCUCAUUUUAGCACUGUGGAAGAUUGGAUUCUUCAAAAGACCACUGAAAAAGAAAAUGGAGAAAUGAAAUAUUUUAUGAAAGAAAAUAAUAACAAUUAUUCAAUAAUCUAUCCUCAGGAAGAGAAUACAGUGGAGUUACUAAGGAAGAAUCUGGAUAUAUUCACUGGAAAAUAAAUGGUAUACCUCAAGAUUUAUUAUUUGUACAUCCAGAGAAUAUCACAACAUUUACUUCCUUACCUUCAUUUACUUUGAUUAUAAAAAUAAUGUGAUCCGCAUAGGCAGAUGUCAAGUGUAAUUUCACCAAACAGAAGUGAUCAUGAAUUAAGAAGACUGAAGAUUAUGUCUAUUUAUUCUUUAUAACAGCAAUAUUAUUUUAAUUGCUUAAAAAUAUGUGAAUAUUAAUUGUUAAGAAAACAUUUAUGGUAAAAGGGGGAUGUAUACACAUGUAGAUAAUUUGAAAACCACAAGAAAUAAUUUUAAAAUAGCCAUCAUACCAGUACCAGAAAUUAUAUGCUAAAAAUCAUAAAGAAUAUAGUACCCUGUACUUUUAAAAACUAUAAUAUUAUAUUUCUUAAUUUUUCUCUAGU